RNAcentral lists this ribosomal RNA (468 nucleotides) under uncultured bacterium. RNAcentral describes it as "partial 16S ribosomal RNA". It matches the Rfam family "Bacterial small subunit ribosomal RNA", at positions 28 to 507 of the family's 1533-position model. The record is from RNAcentral.
GACGAACGCUGGCGGCGUGCUUAACACAUGCAAGUCGAACGGAAAGGCCCUGCUUUUGUGGGGUGCUCGAGUGGCGAACGGGUGAGUAACACGUGAGUAACCUGCCCUUGACUUUGGGAUAACUUCAGGAAACUGGGGCUAAUACCGGAUAGGAGCUCCUGCUGCAUGGUGGGGGUGGGAAAGUUUCGGCGGUUGGGGAUGGACUCGCGGCUUAUCAGCUUGUUGGUGGGGUAGUGGCUUACCAAGGCUUUGACGGGUAGCCGGCCUGAGAGGGUGACCGGCCACAUUGGGACUGAGAUACGGCCCGGACUCCUACGGGAGGCAGCAGUGGGGAAUAUUGCACAAUGGGCGGAAGCCUGAUGCAGCAACGCCGCGUGCGGGAUGACGGCCUUCGGGUUGUAAACCGCUUUCGCCUGUGACGAAGCGUGAGUGACGGUAAUGGGUAAAGAAGCACCGGCUAACUACGUG